RNA transcript from Zophobas morio, 989 nucleotides. RefSeq lists it as uncharacterized. The record is from RefSeq and is a predicted model, not a curated record. The transcript has 2 exons. NCBI's taxonomy places the organism in Eukaryota, Metazoa, Arthropoda, Insecta, Coleoptera, Tenebrionidae.
GAAAAAGUGCGCUAUGCGCUGGCGUUAGAUGUGCAACAUCUUGGCGGCGAUGCGGUCGGGCAGUGGGGGAGGCUGGGGAAGGCCGGUUGGUGGAGACGGCAGGUGGUGUACUUGCCGGCCAAUAGGGCGAGGCAGUUAACAGGAGCACAACAAAAAUACCCCUGGGGCGUUGUAGCAUAAGCGGAGUCUGGGCUACCGGUCUGGAGCUGUUCUCCCCCCACGACGGUGAUUCUAUCUAUCGCAAAGCCUACCCCACACGCAUAUCUCCAUUACUACCGUGCCCUGCAGAACUAGGCCAUGACGGUCGUCCGACCCGCAAGAGAUCUCGGCUAUGUGCAGAAGCCGAGAAAUUUACAACAACGGCGGCCGCCCUUGAAUCUAUCCAAACCUGUGGACUUGUACAGGUGGCACGAUUAAUCUCGUCAGCUCGACUAGGAACCGAACUUCGCUUCUGCCACGUCUUCUGUGUCAUUUAACCUCAAUUCCAUUUUUAAAUAUUCAAUCUCUUAUAACUCUGAUAUUAACAAUAAUUGAACAAGUGUUAAAGUUUCAAAGAGCAAUAAACAACAUUCAGAUUCGCCAUACAACCUUGUGAAAUUUUAAACAACAAAUAAUUCUUAUGUGAGAUUCAAAUUGGACAUCAAAUGAUAUGAUAGAAACAUUCAUCAACAAAGUAUUUACAAAACAAAACUUAGCAAGGAUUUAUGAAACAGAAGAUCUGGUGUGAAAUAAACUUGUACAAAUAGAAAUAUUAUGUGAGGUUAAAACUGUAGGACAUGAAAUUUACGUUCAAUUAAAAUUAUACAACAAACAAAAUUACUGAGGUUAAAAUUGUGAGAUUAAGAAAUAUUGUAUGAGGUGAAAAUUUGCAGAGUUAACAAAAUUUACAUGAGAUUAAUACUUGCCACACUUUAUCAACGGUUCAAACAAAGAGUUUACAAUAUGUCAAAUUAUAUCAUGAUCUAAGUGAUUGGUUACUUCAAAAAAAC